UUGAUUUUUUUUUCUAUUUUAGGGUGAUGCGUAAUGCCGUACUUGAAUCUCAAUCCGACAGUAAGGUGAAAAGGGAAGGUCAAGAGCAGAAGCCGGAGCAACAGAAGCAGCAAGUUGAGGAAGGUGGUGAACCCAAUAAGGUGGAGAAAGCUGCUCAGGAGACAGUUGAAACGCCUUCGAUGCCUGAGACGCAGGAAGAGAAGAAGCCAGAAUCGACCACUGAUGCCAGUUGUGAAGGAAGCAACAACGGUGAAGGUGCAAACAGGUGUCUUUCACUGUGUUAUCACGAGAAUGGCAACGACAAUUGAAGAGAACCGCCAGGAAGACAAUUUUCUAUACCAUCGUGUGAGGGAUGUCAACAUUCAAAAGCUGCCCAGGUGCUUCCAUGUUUGUCUUCAAGUUACCAAAUGGUGAGAAUAUUCUUCACACAGGAGAUUUUCGGGCUGGAAAUGUUUCCAAUUCUACCUCGAUACAACGUAAGUUAAAAGAACUUUAAUUAUUAUUAUUAUUUUAAAUGCAACCCAUCCAAAAAUUAACAUAAAAUCAACUAUAAAAUGAGCAUGAUCAGAAAUACUGCAAAUUAUCUAUAUAGCAUAUUUCCUGAAAUGAUUGUUUGAGGAAACGGCAGGGCCGAUGGUGAUAAAAUGGAGGUAGAAGGCCUCAAUAUGGAUCUACCUGCUGAAGGUUCAGAUAAAGGGUUUUUUUUAUAUUAAAAAUAUUUCGGGGGUACUAUAUUAUUCAGCCCCCCUCCCUCUCCCGACUAAUAUCACAUAUAUUAUAGAUUUAAAUGGAAUUUGCUCACACGGGUUUGGGGGCUCAGGUUUGGUUUUUUAUGCACAUCUACCUAUAUAAUAAAGAAAGGUAAUCGUAUCUAUACAGUUCCUUAUAUCAGGUGGUUUCCAGUGGCCGUAUCCAUUUUCCCCCCAAAGCCCCCCUUCAGGUAGCCCCCAUUAUAAGGUUCAUGCAUUUUUUGCGAAUUUUUGGGAUUUUAUAAGUGACUCUUUUGGGAUUUAUAAGUGGCUCUAAUCUACUUAUAAACCAUCAUAUUUUUUUUCACUAAAAUUUGCGCUGAGCGCAACAAAUCCCCGCGAAGCGGGGUGGGGAAAAUUAGAGCGAAGCGACAAUUUACCUCGUCAUAAUAUAAUUUUUAUAUGCUACUGCAACUCAUGGUUAUAACGAGUGAUUUUAAAAGCUUUUUUGCAACCCUUUUUUUUAAUCCUUUGAAACAAAACUUAGGUAUAAAAUGAUUAAUUUUAAAACUUUUUGCAGAUAUUUAUCAUCUCAAACAAUCUUGCCCAGUUAGGAUGAAAAUAUUGACAUGGCUAUAGAGGAGCCUUCUUUCUUCUAUUUUCUUACGAAAAAAAUGCUAAUUUUUGCAAUCGGAGGUUAGAGAUAUCUUAUAUGCCUACAUAUAACGUGUCAUAAGACUUUUGUAUGUCAUGUCUUACGUAUGUUUUCUGGAUUUUAUCAAUUUUAUGCAAAAAAUUAUGUUUUAGAGAUUAACUUUUUAACCCUGAAUUUGUGUUGUGUUAGUAGAAAAUUAUUUUUCUGAGCUACCCUGUGAUUCAUUUGCGGGAAGAAUUAUUCAUUCCUCAGUGAAAAAUCUGCGAUUCCCAGAAAUUAUUUGGCUCAAUUUUUGUCAAUUACGGGAAUUCGCAGAGUAUUUUUUUUCUUCACCGUUAAUUUUUUAUAAUAGCUUUUGCUACUUUCAUUUUUUUUUUUCAAAUCUUUUAUUUGCACUUUGAAAGAUUUUUUUUUCUUUUCCGCGUUUUCUUUUUUUUUAUUAGAAGAGAGAUGGGUUUUGUAUUUUAUUCCGAAUCUUUAUAAUUUUGCGGAAUUCUUUUAAAUUAAAUUUUUGCUGAAUUUAGAACCUUUCUAGGGAUGAACGGGAAACAUUUAGCGACAGUUUUUUCCCUAUAACCUCUAGCCGCGAAAGUGCGGAACAAUUUAAUAAAAUUUAAAAAUUACUAAGAGCCUUUUUGGGGACGAAUGGAAAGCAUUCUGUGGUAAAUGUUUUCCCCCCAAAACCUCUAGUUUUUCUUGCAUAACCAGAAUGAAUGAAAAGGUCAAAACGAAUGUUAUCGAUAGGCCUUUUCCCUGGGAAAUGCAUCAGAAAUUAAUAAUAUUUUACAAUUUUCUUUCUUUUUUUUUAUUAUAAUUUUUUCCUUAAUUAUUGGUGAUAUUUUCUGACAUUUUGUGCUCGUAUGUGUGGUUUAAUUCAGCCCCUUCACUCACACCUUAUCUACCCUUUAAGCCUUUUAAGCGCUGCCAAUUUACGUUCAUUUUCUUUCUUAUUAAAUUUUAAUUUAUUUCAAAUCACAAUUUAUUUUCUUUAUUUUUUUUUCCUCAAUAUCUUCCUGAUUCUUGAUCUUGCCUUUUAUGUAAUUGAUCGUUCAGGUACUAUCGCUUUAAUUUAUUUUUGCAAUGAUAUCUGAUAGGAAGAGUUUUGCAUUCUCUUUCAAUUCCAUCUGCUUAAUGGUAGUUACUGAUAUCCUUGGUAAGCUUUUCUUUGUAUAGCACGAGACCUCUCGCGUCCAUUGCGACUUUAUUAUGGUUCUUUAGUAACCCCCCCCCCCCCCCCCCGCGGGAAGAUCAGCUUUGUCUGAUUUUUCGGUGAAAAUUCUUUUCUUUAUAAAGAUUUUCCGGGAAAUUAUCGGGAUUCGUCCUGAAGUUUCACUGUGGUUCUUGGAACGAGAUGUUGACUGUGUUCCCUCCUUCCAGAUCCAACCGAAUACCCUUGAGAUGGUGGACCUUGUUGUCCCUUUUCUCAUUCUUCAGGUGUGGAUUUUCCGCCCAAGUUUUGGCUCGUGUGGAACUCAAUGUCUUUUCCAAGAGUUUAAUUUUUUUGUUAACUCUUUCCUUUCUAGAUUCCUCUGCCAUAUUAUCCUGCAACUUUAUUUUUGUAUUUUAAUUUCUUCUUCAUAAGCAGUUAGUUCGAUUAUGUUGGGCGCCAUAAAUAUAUACCAACCCUCCCAUUGAAAGACAGGGUGGUUAUAUUUAAAAUGAUUUUGUGGUGUUUUAUUUUAUAAUUAAUUUUUGUUCGUGAAAUAUUAAAAGAAAAUUUGAAACUAAAAUUAUAAGUGACCCAUGAAAUAUUGAACAUUGUUUUUUCACCUUUGAAACGAAUCGAUUCUUCUAAAGAGCUCUCGCGAGUAAAAAUUCCUCAAAAAUUGUGAAAAAGACUUUAAAAACAUAAAAAACUAUUAAAAUAAGUGAAUUAGUGAAAGACGUGAUACAUGCAAUUAGUGGUGAGUCUACAUUUUUAUUACAAUUUUUAUAAAUAAUUAAGUUUUUAAUCUUUGUGUUUGUAUAAUUUAUUAUACACAUAAUUUGUUAUUUUUGCAAUCGGAGGUUAGAGAUAUCUCAUAUGACUUACGUAUAACGUGUCAUAAGACAUGUUAAUAAGUAUGUUUUAUGGAUUUUAUCAAUUUUAUGCAAAAAUUUAUGUUUUAGAGAUGAAAUUCUAUUUUCUUGACCUUUAUAUAAGACUUUUUGAUGCAUUUAUAUAGUUUGUCUCCUUUUCCUGAAAGAAAAUUUGGAAAAAUAAAAAUUAUGUGCAAAAUUGGUGUUUCCGCAAAAUUUCGGCACGGCGCUAGUGUUUGUGAAAAAAAGUGCAAAAAAGGUGAAACGCUGAUGCUGUGAAGGCCCUAUGGAUAUGAUGUGCGCGGCCGUAAAAUAUUAAAACAAAAAAAAAUCACAAUUUUUUGUGGAAAUUGGCAAUGUAAGUAUGUUUUUCUUUUAUUAUCUUGUAUAUAAUAAGAUGAUUGUGUGAUGGAAGAUAAACUGAUAAGAGAAGAAGCCAGAAUCGACCACUGAUGCCAGUUGUGAAGGAAGCAACAACGGUGAAGGUGCAAACAGGUGUCUUUCACUGUGUUAUCACGAGAAUGGCAACGACAAUUGAAGAAAACCGCCAGGAAGACAAUUUUCUAUACCAUCGUGUGAGGGAUGUCAACAUUCGAUGUGACCUUGCGGAACAGAACUUCGGCAUGACAAAGUUGCAGGACAUCUAGAGGAAGGAGCAACGCGGUGGUAUUAAAGAUGCCAUUGCAGGGCUGCGGGAACUCAAGGAGGAUGACAAGAAGGAAUUAACGGAUCUCCUUGAUUGUCAUUUCUGAUCCGGAGAAGCAGCCAAUUAAGUCAGUGUCCCGGAAGACAAACAAGAGACGCUUCCAGAGCAGAUAAACUUUGAGGAUUUCACGGUGAUGCGUAAUGCCGUACUUGAAUCUCAAUCCGACAGUAAGGUGAAAAGGGAAGGUCAAGAGCAGAAGCCGGAGCAACAGAAGCAGCAAGUUGAGGAAGGUGGUGAACCCAAUAAGGUGGAGAAAGCUGCUCAGGAGACAGUUGAAACGCCUUCGAUGCCUGAGACGCAGGAAGAGAAGAAGCCAGAAUCGACCACUGAUGCCAGUUGUGAAGGAAGCAACAACGGUGAAGGUGCAAACAGGUGUCUUUCACUGUGUUAUCACGAGAAUGGCAACGACAAUUGAAGAGAACCGCCAGGAAGACAAUUUUCUAUACCAUCGUGUGAGGGAUGUCAACAUUCAAAAGCUGCCCAGGUGCUUCCAUGUUUGUCUUCAAGUUACCAAAUGGUGAGAAUAUUCUUCACACAGGAGAUUUUCGGGCUGGAAAUGUUUCCAAUUCUACCUCGAUACAACGUAAGUUAAAAGAACUUUAAUUAUUAUUAUUAUUUUAAAUGCAACCCAUCCAAAAA
Molecule: long non-coding RNA, 4708 nt
Organism: Lutzomyia longipalpis
Lineage: Eukaryota; Metazoa; Arthropoda; Insecta; Diptera; Psychodidae
Exons: 4
Source: RefSeq, a predicted model, not a curated record